This 253-nucleotide ribosomal RNA is filed under the name uncultured prokaryote. Its description in RNAcentral is "partial 16S ribosomal RNA". It matches the Rfam family "Bacterial small subunit ribosomal RNA", at positions 525 to 777 of the family's 1533-position model. The record is from RNAcentral.
ACGUAGGGGGCGAGCGUUGUCCGGAUUUAUUGGGCGUAAAGCGCGCGUAGGCGGUCCGUUAAGUCGGAUGUGAAAAUCCGGGGCUCAACCCCGGACCUGCAUCCGAUACUGGCGGACUCGAGGCAGGCAGGGGAGAGUGGAAUUCCCGGUGUAGCGGUGAAAUGCGCAGAUAUCGGGAGGAACACCGGUGGCGAAGGCGGCUCUCUGGGCCUGUCCUGACGCUCAGGCGCGAAAGCUGGGGGAGCAAACAGGA